RNAcentral lists this ribosomal RNA (423 nucleotides) under uncultured archaeon. Its description in RNAcentral is "bacterial SSU rRNA". It matches the Rfam family "Archaeal small subunit ribosomal RNA", at positions 458 to 880 of the family's 1478-position model. The record is from RNAcentral.
UCAGCCGCCGCGGUAAUACCAGCAGCCCAAGUGGUGGUCGCGUUUAUUGGGCCUAAAGCGCUCGUAGCCUGGCCGGUAAGUUCCCCGUGAAAUCGGGUCGCCCAACGAUUCGGCUUGCGGGGAAUACUGUCGGUCUUGGGGCCGGGAGACGCCGAGGGUACUCCGGGGGUAGCGGUGAAAUGCUGUAAUCCUCGGGGGACUACCAGUGGCGAAGGCGCUCGGCGAUAACGGGCCUGACGGUGAGGGGCGAAAGCUGGGGGCGCGAACGGGAUUAGAUACCCCGGUAGUCCCAGCCGUAAAGGAUGCGGGCAAGGUGCUCGUCGCUCUUCGAGGGCGUCGGGUGCCGUAGAGAAGUCGUUAAGCCCGCCGCCUGGGGAGUACGGUCGCAAGGCUGAAACUUAAAGGAAUUGGCGGGGGAGCACA